GGUCAGGACGAACGCCGGCGGCGUGCCUAAUACAUGCAAGUCGAGCGGACAGAUGCGAGCUUGCUCCCUUGAUGUCAGCGGCGGACGCGUGAGUAACACGUGGGUAACCUGCACGUAAGACUGGGAUAACUCCGCGAAACCGGGGAUAAUACCGGAUGCUUGUAUGAACCGCAUGUUCAAACAUAAAAAGGGUGGCUUCGGCUACCACUUACAGAUGGACCCGCGGCGCCAUUAGCUAGGUUUGGUGAGGUAAUGGCUCACCAAGGCGACGAUGCGUAGCCGAACCUGAGAAGGGUGAUCGGCCACUCUGGGACUGAGACACGGCCCAGACUCCUACGGGAGGCAGCAGUAGGGAAUCUUCCGCAAUGGACGAAAGUCUGACGGAGCAACGCCGCGUGAGUGAUGAAGGUUUUCGGAUCGUAAAGCUCUGUUUGUUAGGGAAGAACAAGUACCGUUCGAAUUAGGGCGGUACCUUUGACGGUACCUAACCAGAAAGCCACGGCUAACUACGUGCCAGCAGCCGCGGUAAUACGUAGGUGGCAAGCGUUGUCCGGAAUUUAUUGGGCGUAAAGGGCUCGCAGGCGGUUUCUUAAGUCUGAUGUGAAAGCCCCCGGCUCAACCGGGGAGGGUCAUUGGAAACUGGGGAACUUGAGUGCAGAAGAGGAGAGUGGAAUUCCACGUGUAGCGGUGAAAUGCGUAGAGAUGUGGAGGAACACCAGUGGCGAAGACGGCGACUCUCUUGGUCUGUAACUGACGCUGAGGAGGGGAAAGGGGGGGGGACCAACAGGGUUUGGUUCCCUGGUAAUGCAAGUCGAGGAUGGAGAAGGUUAAGAGCUAGAGGGGUUUCCCCUCUUAUGGGCGGAAGUUAGGCCAUAAAACCAUUCCCCUGGGGGGUCCGGCGGACGGGUCGAAAAUUAAAAGGAUUGGAGGGGGCCCGGCCCAACGGUUGGGCAUGGGGUUUAAUUUGGAGUAACACGUGGGUACCUGCCCAGUUCUGGCCUUCUUUGACCAACCUUAAGACUGGGAUAACUCUUUGGGGACCGGGAAACCAGUGGGGCUAGGAUACCGGAUAACCGGAUUUUGAACCGCAUGGUUCAAUUCGCCAAGAAAGGCGACCUUGAUUUUCGGCUGUCACUUAUGGAUGGGCCAUUUUAAGGGGACUCCCGGUGACAAACCCGAAGAAAGGGGGGGAGAACUUCAAUUCUCCGUUCGCAUUAGGACCUUGGGUUCCCUAGUUGGUGAGGUAGACGGCUCACCAAGGCAACAGGCCCGGAGGGGGGAGUUAAUUUUAUAAAACCCUUUUUCAUUUGGGAUGGAGGGUUCAAAUUGCCUACCAGGAAGCGGAAACGGUUGGUAACCGGGAACCACCAUGCGCCGGGAAAUAGGUUCCCGGGCCUUGGUCCCCCCCCCCGGCCCCCCCAGAGAAUUUUUACCCACCGAAAUCGGUUGGGUACCUUUUGUAGAGCCAGCCGCCUAAAGUUGGAGAGGUUGAUUG
Molecule: ribosomal RNA, 1495 nt
Filed under: Bacillus subtilis
Lineage: Bacteria; Bacillati; Bacillota; Bacilli; Caryophanales; Bacillaceae
Description: bacterial SSU rRNA
Rfam family: Bacterial small subunit ribosomal RNA
Source: RNAcentral